Molecule: small nuclear RNA, 104 nt
Organism: Sapajus apella (tufted capuchin)
Lineage: Eukaryota; Metazoa; Chordata; Mammalia; Primates; Cebidae
Source: RefSeq, a predicted model, not a curated record
GUGCUAGCUUCAGUAGCACAUAUACUAAAAUUGGAAUGAUACAGAGAGUAGCAUGGCCCCUGCUGAAGGAUGACAUGAAAAUUCAUGAAGCAUCCCAUGUUUUA